RNAcentral lists this non-coding RNA (264 nucleotides) under Thermanaerothrix daxensis. RNAcentral's name for it is "T-box sequence". It matches the Rfam family "T-box leader". Rfam says of the family: Uncharged tRNA acts as the effector for transcription antitermination of genes in the T-box leader family. T-boxes are found upstream of many aminoacyl-tRNA synthetase genes and some amino acid biosynthetic genes usually in Gram-positive bacteria. Lineage: Bacteria; Bacillati; Chloroflexota; Anaerolineae; Anaerolineales; Anaerolineaceae. The record is from RNAcentral.
UCAAAAGCGAUGAUGGAAACGAGUAGGCUCAUUAGAGGCUGUCAGCGAACCUGGGAGAGUGUGAGCCGGGGCAGAUCGGUGAGCCGAAAAUCCUUCCGGAGCUGCAAACUGAACGCGAACCGACAGGUUCGUCAGUAGGGGCGCCGGCCUCGCCAGCCGUUAUCCGCGGCGCAGGUAUCAACGGGAAACCGGGCGUACCUGGCAGAGUGCCUGCCUGUGGGCAGGAAUCAGGGUGGUACCGCGAGAAGCCCUCUCGUCCCUGAA